RNAcentral lists this ribosomal RNA (1410 nucleotides) under metagenome. RNAcentral describes it as "bacterial LSU rRNA". It matches the Rfam family "Bacterial large subunit ribosomal RNA", at positions 799 to 2131 of the family's 2925-position model. The record is from RNAcentral.
UUUGGAUGACUUGUGGUUAGCGGUGAAAUGCCAAUCGAACUCGGAGAUAGCUGGUUCUCCUCGAAAUAGCUUUAGGGCUAGCGUCGUGUUAGUAGCACAUGGGGGUAGAGCUCUGUAAAGGACUGGGGCGGGCAACUGUACCCACCCUUAACAAACUACGAAUACCAUGUGUGUAAUCACGGCAGUUAGAACAUCGGUGCUAAGAUCGGUGCUCAAAAGGGAAACAGCCCAGACCAUCAUCUAAGGUCCCUAAAUUAACGUUCAGUGGGAAACAAGGUGAGAUUUCUUAAACAGCUAGGAUGUUGGCUUAGAAGCAGCCAUUCAUUUAAAGAGUGCGUAACAGCUCACUAGUCAAGAGAUCUUGCGUGGAAAAUGUAACGGGGCUAAAACGUUAUACCGAAGAUAUGGAUGUCAGAUUUAUCUGGCGUGGUAGAGGAGCGUUCCUAUCAGCAGUGAAGUCGAAUCGGAAGGUUCGGUGGAGCGGUAGGAAGUGAGAAUGCUGGAAUGAGUAACCAUAAGAGAGGUGAGAAUCCUCUCGGCCGUAAGAGCAAGGUUUCCUGAGCCAUGGUAAUCAUCUCAGGGUUAGUCGGGCCUAAGCCGAGGCGCAGAGCGUAGGCGAUGGACAUCAGGUUAAUAUUCCUGAACCGGUUAAGUUUUGUACACUGUUCACGGGGAAGUAAUCGAAGCGGAUUCAUGGUUUAUCCGUCCAACCGAGCGGGAACGCAAAGGGAGUGAAAGUGAUUCUUCGGAGUCGCGAUUUUGGUGAAAGCCCUGGCUAGAAAAGCAGGUGUACGCGUGGACUUAGCCGCCCGUACCGCAAACCAACACAGGUGCUCGAGUCGAGUAGACUCAGGCUUACGAGCGAACCUUCGCUAAGGAACUCGGCAAUACAGCGACCGUAACUUCGGGAUAAGGUCUGCCCCCACUUCGGUGGAUAUCAGCCGCGUUCACUCAGUGAAUAUUAGGUUAAAGAGUACAUUUUUAAUCACAAAACGAAUUUUCUGAGAUAGAGCAAACGAAUUGUUCUUUUGAACGCGAACCUCUGACGUCUAACGAUGUGGGGGCCGCAGCAAAAGAGCCCACGGAACUGUUUAUCAAAAACACAGGUCUCUGCUAACACGAAAGUGGAUGUAUAGGGGCUGACUCCUGCCCAAUGCUGGAAGGUUAAGGGGAGCGCUUCACGGUGCGAACUGAAGCCCUAGUCAAUGGCGGCGGUAACUAUAACCGUCCUAAGGUAGCGAAAUUCCUUGUCAGGUAAGUUCUGACCCGCACGAAUGGAGUAAUCAUGUGGGCACUGUCUCAGCGAAGGACUCGGUGAAAGUGCAUUGGCGGUAAAGAUGCCGUCUGUCCAUACCAGGACGAGAAGACCCCAUGGAGCUUUACUACAGCUUUACAUUGACACGGGUUACA